AUUGAACACUGGCGGCAGGCUUAACACAUGCAAGCCGAGCGGGGAAGGGUAGCUUGCUACCUGACCUAGCGGCGGACGGGUGAGUAAUGCUUAGGAAUCUGCCUAUUAGUGGGGGACAACAUUCCGAAAGGAAUGCUAAUACCGCAUACGCCCUACGGGGGAAAGCAGGGGAUCUUCGGACCUUGCGCUAAUAGAUGAGCCUAAGUCAGAUUAGCUAGUUGGUGGGGUAAAGGCCUACCAAGGCGACGAUCUGUAGCGGGUCUGAGAGGAUGAUCCGCCACACUGGGACUGAGACACGGCCCAGACUCCUACGGGAGGCAGCAGUGGGGAAUAUUGGACAAUGGGCGCAAGCCUGAUCCAGCCAUGCCGCGUGUGUGAAGAAGGCCUUUUGGUUGUAAAGCACUUUAAGCGAGGAGGAGGCUACUGAGAUUAAUACUCUUGGAUAGUGGACGUUACUCGCAGAAUAAGCACCGGCUAACUCUGUGCCAGCAGCCGCGGUAA
This 501-nucleotide ribosomal RNA is filed under the name uncultured bacterium. RNAcentral describes it as "partial 16S ribosomal RNA". It matches the Rfam family "Bacterial small subunit ribosomal RNA", at positions 30 to 523 of the family's 1533-position model. The record is from RNAcentral.